UACGUAGGGGGCAAGCGUUGUCCGGAAUCAUUGGGCGUAAAGCGCGCGUAGGUGGCCUCAUAAGUCCGCUGUGAAAGUCAAAGGCUCAACCUUUGAAAGCCGGUGGAUACUGUGAGGCUAGAGUACGGAAGAGGCGAGUGGAAUUCCUGGUGUAGCGGUGGAAUGCGCAGAUAUCAGGAGGAACACCAAUAGCGAAGGCAGCUCGCUGGGACGUUACUGACACUGAGGCGCGAAAGCGUGGGGAGCGAACAGG
This 253-nucleotide ribosomal RNA is filed under the name uncultured bacterium. RNAcentral's name for it is "partial 16S ribosomal RNA". It matches the Rfam family "Bacterial small subunit ribosomal RNA", at positions 524 to 776 of the family's 1533-position model. The record is from RNAcentral.